RNAcentral lists this unclassified non-coding RNA (1178 nucleotides) under Hevea brasiliensis (rubber tree). The record is from RNAcentral. Lineage: Eukaryota; Viridiplantae; Streptophyta; Magnoliopsida; Malpighiales; Euphorbiaceae.
GAGAGAGAGAGAGAGAGAGAGAGAGACAAUUAGUUCAUAAUUAUUUAUUUUUAAUUAUUCUUUUUGGUGAGUCCUAGUUCUGGGUCUGAGUUAAACAGAAAACGCAAGAACCAACAACAUAGAAAGGAGAAUCAAAGCUCGUGAUUCGAGAGAAGUAGAGCACCGGUCAACAUCAACACCAAUACCAGUAGUUUCGGGAAGGAGAAGAAGAUGGGCCGCCACAGGCCUUCAUAAACAUCAUCUCCAUAUUAUCACACUACAUUAAGCCAUGGAAUACACUGGACGAGUUCUGCUUCGUCUCGUUCUUGUUCUGUUAUUGAUUCAGUGUUCACUAGCCCAGCAAGGCUUCUUGAACUCCAGCAUCGAGUGGACAGCUUUGCUUGAUCUUCGGUCAUCUUUAGGACUCAGAAGCACAGACUGGCCUAUAAAAUCCGACCCAUGCAGCAAAUGGAAUGGAGUCCAGUGCAAGAACGGCCGAGUCACCGGAAUCAAUAUUUCCGGGUUCAGACGGACCCGCAUUGGGCGUUCAAAUCCCAGUUUCAGCGUCGAUUCCCUCGUCAAUUUGACGUUUCUGGAGUCUUUUAAUGCUUCUGGGUUUUCACUUCCCGGUUGGAUACCGUCCUGGUUCGGUUACAGACUUGGUUCGCUGCAGGUACUCGAUCUCCGGUCUAGUUCAGUGACCGGUCCGAUUCCAGAUUCUCUCGGUAAUUUGACUAGAGUCAAUGCUUUACAUCUAUCUGGUAAUAACCUUACUGGUAAUAUACCCUCUGCUUUGGGCCAGUUAAUGCAAUUAUCAGUUCUUGACCUUUCGAGGAAUUCCCUCACUGGACAAUUACCUACUACUUUUGCAUUGCUUAGCAAUUUGUCAAGGCUCGACCUUUCUUCCAAUUUCUUAACCGGUCCAAUUCCGCAGGCUUUGGGUAACAUGGAUAGAUUGCAAUCCUUGAAUUUAUCUGACAAUAAUUUCGCGGAUUCAAUUCCUGUGAACCUGGGUAACCUUUCUCAAUUGGUUGAGCUUACUCUUACCAGAAACUCAUUGUCUGGGUCAUUGCCUGUAGAAUUAGCAGGGUUGAAGGACUUGGUACGGAUGGAAAUUGGGGAUAAUGGACUAGAGGGUGGGUUGCCUGAUGGUUUAUUUUCCAGUCUUAAAAAAUUGCAAGUUGUGGUCUUAAGUGGGA